RNAcentral lists this unclassified non-coding RNA (244 nucleotides) under plant metagenome. Its description in RNAcentral is "partial contains small subunit ribosomal RNA and internal transcribed spacer 1". The stretch from base 1 to 46 matches the Rfam family "Eukaryotic small subunit ribosomal RNA", at positions 1786 to 1831 of the family's 1831-position model. The record is from RNAcentral.
AAGUCGUAACAAGGUUUCCGUAGGUGAACCUGCGGAAGGAUCAUUAAUGAGAUAGGGUCCUUCGGGGCCCGACCUCCAACCCCGUAUCUACCUUACCACUGUUGCCUGGCGGGACGCCGACGCCCCCCUUACAAAGGGCACGCCGGGCCGACGGCUUUGGCCCUCGAGCGCCCGUCGGUGGACUAUUUGAAAACCCAUCUAAUGAAGCCUUCUGAGAGUUAAUUUAUAACUAAAUACUUCAAAA